GAAACGGUCAAGAUCAGCCUGAAAUAAGUGAACCCACACCCAAAUCAAAGAAGAGAAAAUGAGCAAACCCGAGGACACUGAAAAGAAGAUUCUAAAUAAGAAGCUUAAAGAUGUUGAGAUUAGCAUUCCAAUAGUUUACGGCAACAUCUCAUUCUGGCUUGGUAAAAAAGCUAACGAGUAUCAGUCACAUAAAUGGACUGUGUAUGUACGUGGGGCCACAAAUGAGGAUCUUGGUGUGGUGAUAAAACGAGCUGUUUUUCAGUUGCAUUCCAGUUUCAAUAAUCCAACAAGGGUCGUUGAAUCACCACCUUUUGAGUUAUCAGAAGCAGGGUGGGGUGAAUUCGAGAUUGCAAUAACACUGUAUUUCCACAGUGAUGUUUGUGAUAAACCCUUGAACUUAUAUCAUCAUUUGAAAUUGUACCCAGAGGAUGAAUCUGGUCCUAUGUCAACGAAGAAGCCUGUUGUUGUGGAAUCAUAUGAUGAGAUUGUGUUCCCUGAGCCUUCUGAGGGCUUCUUCGCUCGUGUGCAGAGUCAUCCUGCUGUAACCUUACCCAGAUUACCUGCUGGUUUUACUUUACCUCCUCCUGUACCAGUUGAGGAUGCAAGUAAAAGGAAGAGAGGCGACACUAAAGAUCAUCCUCUAAGCCAGUGGUUCAUGAAUUUCUCUGAAGCGGAUGAGCUGUUACAACUUGCAGCAGCUCGUCAGCAGUAUAGAUGCUAUUGAACUUUGUUCCUGCACAUGGACAAGCAAAUGUGUGAGUGUGUGCCUGCAUGUGUGUUGUCACUUUUGAGAGAGUGUCAGAGAAUUUGGAAUUGGAUUUGAGAGUGUGUGCCUGCAUGUGUGUUGUCACUUUUGAGAGAGUGUCAGAGAAUUUGGAAUUGGAUUUGAGAGUGUGCAGAGAGGAUUUGCUUGAACAAAGUCUC
This 924-nucleotide unclassified non-coding RNA is filed under the name Hevea brasiliensis (rubber tree). The record is from RNAcentral. Lineage: Eukaryota; Viridiplantae; Streptophyta; Magnoliopsida; Malpighiales; Euphorbiaceae.